CAACCAAAGCGGGGACGUUUUGGUGAAUCACAAGAAGUCAGCAGAGGUCAUAGUAAUGUUAACUGACGAAACAUGAAGGAC
Non-coding RNA from Virgibacillus pantothenticus, 81 nucleotides. The record is from Rfam. Lineage: Bacteria; Bacillati; Bacillota; Bacilli; Caryophanales; Bacillaceae.